This 450-nucleotide ribosomal RNA is filed under the name uncultured bacterium. Its description in RNAcentral is "partial 16S ribosomal RNA". It matches the Rfam family "Bacterial small subunit ribosomal RNA", at positions 354 to 796 of the family's 1533-position model. The record is from RNAcentral.
GUGGGGAAUAUUGGACAAUGGGCGAAAGCCUGAUCCAGCCAUGCCGCGUGUGUGAAGAAGGUCCUCGGAUUGUAAAGCACUUUAAGUUGGGAGGAAGGGCAGUAAGUUAAUACCUUGCUGUUUUGACGUUACCGACAGAAUAAGCACCGGCUAACUUCGUGCCAGCAGCCGCGGUAAUACGAAGGGUGCAAGCGUUAAUCGGAAUUACUAGGCGUAAAGCGCGCGUAGGUGGUUUUGUAAGUUGGAGGUGAAAUACCCGGGCUCAAACUGGGAACUGCCUCCAAAACUACUGAGCUAGAGUACGGUAGAGGGUAGUGGAAUUUCCUGUGUAGCGGUGAAAUGCGUAGAUAUAGGAAGGAACACCAGUGGCGAAGGCGACUACCUGGACUGAUACUGACACUGAGGUGCGAAAGCGUGGGGAGCAAACAGGAUUAGAAACCCCAGUAGUCC